CUCAUGGCCUUUAUGACCAGGGCUACACACGUACUACAAUGGCCGGUACAAAGGGCAGCGACACAGCGAUGUGAAGCGAAUCCCGAAAAAGCCGGUCUCAGUCCGGAUUGGAGUCUGCAACUCGACUCCAUGAAGUUGGAAUCGCUAGUAAUCGCGGAUCAGCACGCCGCGGUGAAUACGUUCCCGGGCCUU
RNAcentral lists this ribosomal RNA (192 nucleotides) under uncultured Desulfocapsa sp. RNAcentral's name for it is "partial 16S ribosomal RNA". It matches the Rfam family "Bacterial small subunit ribosomal RNA", at positions 1192 to 1382 of the family's 1533-position model. Lineage: Bacteria; Pseudomonadati; Thermodesulfobacteriota; Desulfobulbia; Desulfobulbales; Desulfocapsaceae. The record is from RNAcentral.